This 305-nucleotide ribosomal RNA is filed under the name uncultured bacterium. RNAcentral describes it as "bacterial SSU rRNA". It matches the Rfam family "Bacterial small subunit ribosomal RNA", at positions 338 to 641 of the family's 1533-position model. The record is from RNAcentral.
CCUACGGGACGCAGCAGUGAGGAAUAUUGGUCAAUGGGCGGGAGCCUGAACCAGCCAAGUCGCGUGAGGGACGACGGUCCUAUGGAUUGUAAACCUCUUUUGUCGGGGAACAAAGGCGCCCACGGGUGGGCGGAUGAGUGUACCCGAAGAAAAAGCAUCGGCUAACUCCGUGCCAGCAGCCGCGGUAAUACGGAGGAUGCGAGCGUUAUCCGGAUUUAUUGGGUUUAAAGGGUGCGUAGGCGGACGGUCAAGUCAGCGGUAAAAAUGCGGUGCUCAACCUCGCUCCGCCGUUGAAACUGGCGUUC